This 393-nucleotide ribosomal RNA is filed under the name uncultured bacterium. Its description in RNAcentral is "partial 16S ribosomal RNA". It matches the Rfam family "Bacterial small subunit ribosomal RNA", at positions 523 to 918 of the family's 1533-position model. The record is from RNAcentral.
AUACGAGAGGUGCAAGCGUUGUUCGGAAUUACUGGGCGUAAAGGGAGCGUAGGCGGAGAUUCAAGCGGAUUGUACAAUCCCGGGGCCCAACCCCGGCUCUGCAGUCCGAACUGGAUCUCUUGGAUAGUUCAGGGGCAGGCGGAAUUCCUGGUGUAGCGGUGGAAUGCGUAGAGAUCAGGAAGAACACCGAUGGCGAAGGCAGCCUGCUGGGGACUUAUCGACGCUGAGGCUCGAAAGUGCGGGUAGCAAACAGGAUUAGAUACCCUGGUAGUCCGCACCGUAAACGAUGCAUACUGGGUGUCCGGGGGUUCCCCCGGGUACCGUAGCCAACGCGUUAAGUAUGCCGCCUGGGGAGUACGUACGCAAGUAUGAAACUCAAAUGAAUUGACGGGG